UUGAAUAAUGUUUCUAAAUGGGUUGUAGCUGGCUCUUUGGAGCAUGUGCACACCUGUUUAGACUUCAUUUUCAUCCACCUGUGCACUUUUUGUAGUCUUUGGCUGGGUAUCGAGGAAGUGGUCUACCUCUCAGCAUUUGCUGGAUGUGAGGGCUUGCAGUGUGUGAAAAGCUUUGCUGUCCUUUACUUGACCACGGAGUCGUUUUCUCACCAGAGUCUAUGUCAUUCAUUAUACACUAUUGUAUGUCUUUGAAUGUAUUUACAUGGGCUCCUAUGCCUAUAAUAAUGAUAAUA
RNAcentral lists this unclassified non-coding RNA (293 nucleotides) under uncultured Agaricus. RNAcentral describes it as "sequence contains ITS1". The record is from RNAcentral. Lineage: Eukaryota; Fungi; Basidiomycota; Agaricomycetes; Agaricales; Agaricaceae.